AAGUCGUAACAAAGGUUUCCGUAGGUGAACCUGCGGAAGGAUCAAUUACCGAGUAAAGGGUCUUCUAGGCCCGACCUCCCACCCUUUGUUGUCGAACAAAUUUCUGUUGCUUUGGCGGGACCGCUCGACCCUCGGGUCGACUGCCGGGUCUCGUACCGGGUAAGUGCCCGCCAAAGUCCAAUCAUAAAACACCUUGUAAAACCUUUUUGUCUGAGUAAAUUGAUAAAUAAAUCAAAA
RNAcentral lists this unclassified non-coding RNA (237 nucleotides) under plant metagenome. RNAcentral's name for it is "partial contains small subunit ribosomal RNA and internal transcribed spacer 1". The stretch from base 1 to 47 matches the Rfam family "Eukaryotic small subunit ribosomal RNA", at positions 1786 to 1831 of the family's 1831-position model. The record is from RNAcentral.